CCUUUACUCAGAGUGAUAGAGAAAACUAUGGCUCUGCCUUUACUGAAGGAUCUAAUGGCUCGGAGCGGGCAGCUUUCAUUUAUGAAUAUAAGGUGAAAAGGAGUAAGGAGAAGUUUGGGAGAGUCAGACAGUCCACGGAACUUGCAAUGACUCAGCGAUGAUCUAUGCCAGAUGUACAACCCCUGCUGUCACUGGUGAGGAU
Long non-coding RNA from Sardina pilchardus (European sardine), 202 nucleotides. RefSeq lists it as uncharacterized. The record is from RefSeq and is a predicted model, not a curated record. The transcript has 3 exons. Lineage: Eukaryota; Metazoa; Chordata; Actinopteri; Clupeiformes; Clupeidae.